GAGCUUGCUCUCGGGUGACGAGUGGCGGACGGGUGAGCAAGUCUGGGAAACUGCCUGAUGGAGGGGGAUAACUACUGGAAACGGUAGCUAAUACCGCAUAAUGUCGCAAGACCAAAGAGGGGGACCUUCGGGCCUCUUGCCAUCAGAUGUGCCCAGAUGGGAUUAGCUAGUAGGUGGGGUAACGGCUCACCUAGGCGACGAUCCCUAGCUGGUCUGAGAGGAUGACCAGCCACACUGGAACUGAGACACGGUCCAGACUCCUACGGGAGGCAGCAGUGGGGAAUAUUGCACAAUGGGCGCAAGCCUGAUGCAGCCAUGCCGCGUGUAUGAAGAAGGCCUUCGGGUUGUAAAGUACUUUCAGCGGGGAGGAAGGUGUUGUGGUUAAUAACCACAGCAAUUGACGUUACCCGCAGAAGAAGCACCGGCUAACUCCGUGCCAGCAGCCGCGGUAAUACGGAGGGUGCAAGCGUUAAUCGGAAUUUACUGGGCGUAAAGCGCACGCAGGCGGUCUGUCAAGUCGGAUGU
Molecule: ribosomal RNA, 525 nt
Filed under: Enterobacter sp.
Lineage: Bacteria; Pseudomonadati; Pseudomonadota; Gammaproteobacteria; Enterobacterales; Enterobacteriaceae
Description: bacterial SSU rRNA
Rfam family: Bacterial small subunit ribosomal RNA
Source: RNAcentral